GGAUGUGAAGAAUUUGAUUCUGAAGAUCUCAGUCAGGAAACAGUUGUGUCUGAAGUUUCAGUAACAAAUUCCAUAAAACUUGAGGCUUUGAAUCAAUACUUAGCCCUUUGUAAUGUUAGCCCGAUAAAGGAAUGUCAGGUCUACCUAAAACAUUCAAGUAACAGAACUAAACAGAGGUAAAUCAAUAAGGCUAAGCAGUGUCUUGAUCUUAUUCUGACAACAAUUUGUCCAGGGGAAGAGGAAUUUUUGAGAAGAUCUGUUUUGAAUGAUAUUCAACUAACUUCUGCAGAGGAAGAUAAUGCAAUUCUUGCGACACUUGUCGAAAUUUAUAAUGGAGCAAAUUCUUGGGCAUUCCAACAACAGAUUCUCUCAACAAUAGUUAAAGACAAGGACUUUUUGGCUGUCAAAGAGCAAAAGAACAUAUUCAAGAGCAUGGUGUAGGAGAACCAAUCUCAAACAGGAAAGUUUCAAGGGAAAAGUAUACCCAUAGCCAAUUAGACCACUUCAUUGACUUUAUUACAUCUGGAACAAUAAUUAAAGAUCAACCUUUUGGAGAAAAAACUUUGAAAAUGGAAACAGGAGAGGUUCUAAAGAUCGCAACUGUUAUUAGAUGUUUGGCUCCUUCCACCAUUAUCUCUCAAUACAUGGAUGUAUGCAAGGAGGAUAAUAUAAAGCCUCUUGGAAGUAGCACUCUUUUCAAGAUAUUGGAAGAAUGCUCAGCUGUGGUCAGGAAAAGCAUUGAGGGAUUAGACAAUUUUUUAAUGGAAGGGACUAAAGCCUUUGAGGAUCUUGACAAGAUACUGAAAAAACUUGAACUGUCAACUGAAGACUUGA
Molecule: long non-coding RNA, 834 nt
Organism: Saccostrea echinata
Lineage: Eukaryota; Metazoa; Mollusca; Bivalvia; Ostreida; Ostreidae
Exons: 3
Source: RefSeq, a predicted model, not a curated record